RNAcentral lists this ribosomal RNA (229 nucleotides) under uncultured bacterium. RNAcentral describes it as "partial 16S ribosomal RNA". It matches the Rfam family "Bacterial small subunit ribosomal RNA", at positions 568 to 796 of the family's 1533-position model. The record is from RNAcentral.
CGUGUAGGCGGUUAGGCAAGUCAGAUGUGAAAGCCCUGGGCUCAACUCAGGAAGUGCAUUUGAAACUGCUUAACUAGAGCAAGAGAGAGGAAAGUGGAAUUCCUGGUGUAGAGGUGAAAUUCGUAGAUAUCAGGAGGAACACCGGUGGCGAAGGCGGCUUUCUGGCUCUAUACUGACGCUGAGACGCGAAAGCGUGGGGAGCAAACAGGAUUAGAUACCCUGGUAGUCC